Molecule: long non-coding RNA, 510 nt
Filed under: Brachypodium distachyon (stiff brome)
Lineage: Eukaryota; Viridiplantae; Streptophyta; Magnoliopsida; Poales; Poaceae
Description: long non-coding RNA (BDIS_LNC002446)
Source: RNAcentral
GAUUUAAAACAUAUUUUAUGUAUUACUUAUAAAGCCCUAACGACAUUUAUAUAAGCAAAAGUAUUUUCACUUAUUUUAUUUUGAAAGGAUUCAAGUCCCAAAAAUUCACACUUUGGAGGAUUUGAAUUUACAAAUUUACUGGAGUUUAUUUGGACUUAUUUUGAGUUAGGAAUCAAAAGUUAUUAAUAAAAACAGAAAAUGGAAAAAGAAAAAGGAAAAAAAAAGGAAUGGACCGACCCAACUGGGCCGGCCCAUCUCCACCGAGCGCCCAGCCCAGCGAGAGCAUGAGCACGAGCUCAUCUUCCUACUCUGCACUUAAGGAAACUCUCUCCUUCCCUAUUUUCUUUCUUCGAUUUUUUUCCUUCCCGCGCGUCUCUCUCCGAAAAGAAACCACCCCAUCAAUCCUCACCAUCUCGGGAACCCAUUCAGACAACCAAUUUGAAGUUUCCUUUCAUAAUCGCAGUUUCCAAAAGAGGGGCCCUGAAUGCCGACCGUCGACAUCCCGCGUCC